GGAAUAUUGGACAAUGGGGGCAACCCUGAUCCAGCCAUGCCGCGUGGAUGAAGAAGGCCCUAGGGUUGUAAAGUCCUUUCGGUGGUGAAGAUAAUGACGGUAACAACAUAAUAAGCCACGGCUAAUUUCGUGCCAGCAGCAGCGGUAAUAAGAAAGGGGCUAGCGUUGUUCGGAAUUACUGGGCGUAAAGCGCGCGUAGGCGGCUUUGUAAGUUGGGGGUGAAAUCCCGGAGCUCAACUCCGGAACUGCCUCCAAAACUACAUGGCUUGAGGACGCGAGAGGAUAGUGGAAUUCCGAGUGUAGAGGUGAAAUUCGUAGAUAUUCGGAAGAACACCAGUGGCGAAGGCAACUGUCUGGCGCGUUUCUGACGCUGAGGUGCGAAAGCGUGGGGAGCAAAC
RNAcentral lists this ribosomal RNA (398 nucleotides) under uncultured bacterium. RNAcentral describes it as "bacterial SSU rRNA". It matches the Rfam family "Bacterial small subunit ribosomal RNA", at positions 358 to 773 of the family's 1533-position model. The record is from RNAcentral.